UGGGGAAUUUUGGACAAUGGGCGAAAGCCUGAUCCAGCAAUGCCGCGUGUGUGAAGAAGGCCUUCGGGUUGUAAAGCACUUUUGUCCGGAAAGAAAUCCUUGGCUCUAAUACAGUCGGGGGAUGACGGUACCGGAAGAAUAAGCACCGGCUAACUACGUGCCAGCAGCCGCGGUAAUACGUAGGGUGCAAGCGUUAAUCGGAAUUACUGGGCGUAAAGCGUGCGCAGGCGGUUUGCUAAGACCGAUGUGAAAUCCCCGGGCUCAACCUGGGAACUGCAUUGGUGACUGGCAGGCUAGAGUAUGGCAGAGGGGGGUAGAAUUCCACGUGUAGCAGUGAAAUGCGUAGAGAUGUGGAGGAAUACCGAUGGCGAAGGCAGCCCCCUGGGCCAAUACUGACGCUCAUGCACGAAAGCGUGGGGAGCAAACAGGAUUAGAUACCCUGGUAGUCCACGCCCUAAACGAUGUCAACUAGUUGUUGGGGAUUCAUUUCCUUAGUAACGUAGCUAA
This 507-nucleotide ribosomal RNA is filed under the name uncultured bacterium. RNAcentral's name for it is "partial 16S ribosomal RNA". It matches the Rfam family "Bacterial small subunit ribosomal RNA", at positions 355 to 855 of the family's 1533-position model. The record is from RNAcentral.